CAGAUCCAUAACUAUCAUGGAUUUUUGUAAGAGCAGAUAUAGUUGGCAUCAUGUAACCAGAUGUCAAAGUUGAAGGUUUCUUCUCUUUGCGAUAUUUCAUAAUCCUAUCAAUCUUUGAUCGAGGCAUAUAUACCUUCAUUGCUUGGUUCAUCAUUUUACAAAAAUCCAAUCGAUCUUCAUCAUUCUUUCUGGAGUGACGAUACCUAUUGGAGCCAGUUCUAUCAUCUUUACAGUAGGAUUUCUAAUAGAGUAUUCUCCAUCUCCAGAAUUUGUAUAUAAAUCAUAGACAGAUUCUGUAGAAGGAUUUUUUAUCGAAUUAAUUACAAGGUUUAUUUUUACUAAAGAAAUAGGCUGAAGCAGUCGUUACUGUUUCAUCGGAUCUCGCUUUCCUCAAUCCAUCUUCGCUUCUAUUAUUAUCCUAUAAAAAAUAGAGAAAAGACGCUAAUAUAUGGUACGUAUUUAAUUAUUAAUAUUUCGUAAUUUAUUUUUGUUUAUUAAUAAUUAAUUUAUUUGUUGUUUGUAAUAAUCAAACUAUGCAACGUACAAUAAAGAACAAUUUGAUAGAUGUCAAGUUGUAGAUAAAAACGACUCAAAGGAAAACAACGAUAUUUCGACUCAAGAAUCAACCUCCUACAAUCGCAAAAAGCGGUCUUCUCGAGAUGAGUUUAGAGGAAGAUCAAUCUCAAUUGAUACCAUGUUAGAGAAUGAAUGGCUAAAGUGAUUAUCAAUGAAUCCAAUAUCUUCACUAAGAAAGCAUAAUCAUUACAAAGUUGUUUAAUCCUUAUAUAGGAUGAAAUUAUUACAAGAAAAUAUUACAAAGUUGACGACCUAUGUAUUAUGUGUCGUCUAACAAUAUCAUUAAUCUAUCAAUUCAAAAACAAUUCAAAUAAAAAAUCAGGCAAAACUUGGCCAUAUCACAUUGGAUC
RNAcentral lists this long non-coding RNA (926 nucleotides) under Zostera marina. Its description in RNAcentral is "long non-coding RNA (ZMAR_LNC000835)". The record is from RNAcentral. Lineage: Eukaryota; Viridiplantae; Streptophyta; Magnoliopsida; Alismatales; Zosteraceae.